UGGGCAACCUGCCCUCAGCUCUGGGAUAACUCCAAGAAAUUGGGGCUAAUACCGGAUAUGACUGCUGACCGCAUGGUCUGGUGGUGGAAAGAUUUAUCGGCUGGGGAUGGGCCCGCGGCCUAUCAGCUUGUUGGCGGGGUAGUGGCCUACCAAGGCGACGACGGGUAGCCGGCCUGAGAGGGCGACCGGCCACACUGGGACUGAGACACGGCCCAGACUCCUACGGGA
This 228-nucleotide ribosomal RNA is filed under the name uncultured bacterium. RNAcentral's name for it is "partial 16S ribosomal RNA". It matches the Rfam family "Bacterial small subunit ribosomal RNA", at positions 118 to 346 of the family's 1533-position model. The record is from RNAcentral.